UGCUGUGGGAGCACCUCACGGUCACUCCUGUGCCUUCCUUGCCCUCAGUGGGGAAGGCUGCUACCUCUGAGGGCAGGAAUGCCUCACCCCUCUCAGUAUUCCUGACCUAGCUCCUCCUUCACCUCUCUGAAAAAGCCUUCCUCUUCACCUGGCAGACUCCUAUUCAUCCGCCAAAGCCCAGCUCCCAGAUCCCCUCCUCUGGGAAGCAUCCCUUCACCCCUCAGGCACCAUCCUCACUCCCUCCUCUGGGUUGAGACUCUCUUUGCCUGUUUCCCUCUCCGGCCUGAUUGCUCCCUGAGGACGGGGACCUGGUUGAUUCUACACCACAGACACACCCAGCAGAGGUUUGAUUUGCACAUGGGCCUGGAGAAGUGUUUGCUCAAUGAAUGAAUGAGUGAAUGAAUGCCGAUUUCCCAUAUCCUCCUGCUACUCACUCUCUAUCCUCUCUCCCAUGCUCCCUUUCCCUUCCUUCAUACCACUUACCCAUAUUUGGAAAUGUCUCAUUUAUUUAUUUCUAACUUGUUUAUGAUGUCUAUCUCUCUCCACCGAGUUCUCAGCUCUGUGAGGACAAGGGCCUGGCUUUCUCACUCACUGCUGUAUCUCCAGCACCUAGUGCCUGGCACGUAAUAGGUGUUCAAGAAACGUGUUGAAUGAAUGGAGAUGCCCUGGGACCACUCAUCAUGAUCUCAUCUUCCGUUUGGCGACUGUCAAGUAGCACUUGCUGCCCAGGCAAUAACGCCACAGGCCCUGGUGGGCGAAGGCCCCCGACAGCCGGUACUGCAUCCAGUGGUCUGUCGCCGUGGCCACCACCAGGAGGAUGGUCCCCACCCAGGCGCAGAAGAGGCCACCACCCAUGAAGCUGUACAUGGUGAUCUGUGGAAUCCAAGGCAGGAUCCCACUGAGUCAUCACAUCCCCUCAGUCGCCUCUGUUCUGCAGCAGUUUCUCAGUCUUUCCUUGUUUUUCACAACUUUGACAGCUUUGAGGACUACUGGUCAGUUUCUUCUUUUUAACAAACUAGAGGUCUAUUUUAAUGAAUAAUUCCAAUUUAUUUAGUCCUCAUUUCACAGAGGUUCAAACUGUGCCUCAGAGAGGCUAAGUAAGAUACUCAAGGUCACAGAGCUAGUCAGUAGCACGACUGGGAUUUGAACCCUGGCUCCAGAGUCUGUGAUUAAUGGAGACACAAGUAGGAGGCAGACUGUAUAGUACCUUCUAGGCUGACUUUGGAAUUUUUUUUUUUUUAAUUCUGGAACAUUGAGAUGACUUUGAACAUUUGUAAGCAGAAGUGUGACAUAAUUUAUGUUUUAAGAAGAGCACUGUGCCUGCAGCUUGGAGAGUGGGUUGUGGUGGAACGCAAGAGUGGAAGCAGGAAGCCUAGGGAGAAAGCUGCCAUCCUCCAGGCAUGGGUGGUGACGGCUCCAAGGAGGGUGGGGGUAGUGGGGAUGGGAAGAUGUGAAUAGAUUUAAGAUGUAUUUUGGAGGGAGAACCAUCAGGAUUUGCUGCGGGGCUGCUGGACGUGAGUGAUGGGGAAUCAAGGGUGAUGCAAAGUUCUCAACCUGAGCGGCGCCUUUGAAUAUGAAUUUUCUUACAAGAACUUCACAACAUCCCACUUUGAGGAUGAGAAAUCCGAGACUAGCUUUCGAGUUCUGUGCUGGAUGAUGCUGGUGACGCCGAGAUGACGCAGAACCGCUACCUGCUCUCGAAGGGCUCUCAGUCUUGAGAGGUGGGGGACAGACACGGAGAUGGACAGUAACAUUCUGGGGUGAUGGGAGCCGGGACACAGGGAGGAACAGGACAGUGAGAGCCGGAAGCGGAUUAAACGUUGCCUGGAGGCAAGGAGGUGGAGGGGGAGGUCGGGGGCCAGGAAAACAUUGUUGCUAGCUUGCAAGGCGUGGGGGAGAAGGUCGGAGAGGUUUUUGGGUUUUUUGGGUUUUGUUUUGUUUUGUUUUAGAGGAGGUGGCCUUUGGGCUAGGUCUAGGGUGAAUGGGUAUUUGAUGUAGAAGAAACGGCGCGAGCAAAGGCUAGGUGGCUGGAAUCUAAAGAUUUUUACCAAGAAGGCUGGCUUUCCUUUCCUAGCGCCUAUGAUUAGCAUGCAGGUCUCAUCCAUCCGGUUAGGAAGCUUAUGUCGAACAGGGCUCCGAAAUAAGGGUUCGAAUCCUCGUUCCGCUUCUUACUAACUCUUGACCUAAAGUAAGCUAAGUCUCUGGAUUUUUGCGACAUAAAACUCAAUUCCAGCGUAACGGCACUGCUUCUGGUUUUGUUCUGUUACUGUCCCUCCUGUUUCUGCGGUCAGGGUCCGACCUCGCCACUUACCAUGUACCUGGCCCUUUAAGGCCCUCCUCCCCGAGCUGGGAGAGCGGAGGCGUGUUCUUGCGCUUCUAAGGAAAUGCCCUUUACCCAGCUUUCAAAAUUGACAGGCAAGUUCUGAAAAGUGACCAAUCAAUUCCUGCGUCGGGAGGGCACGAAGGUUCCGAUUUGUUGGGGAACGCCUGCAGCAAUAGGUUUGAGCUCCGCCCACUCCUUGUUACGUUUAACAGCGCGAGACGUAAUCCUCAGCUCUGAUUGGGGGGAAGCUCACGUUGCUUCCGCGUCUCCUCCCUCCGUCCGUCAAAUCCGGGGGUGGAGGGCUAGCACCCUCGCUUUUUGAUUGGCUACGUUUCUGAGCGCGAUUCUCUCUCUCUCGCCCUCUGAUUGGCUGUUCCUUUUCCGCGCCUUCUCCGGGCUGUAACUAUUUUGCCCCGGCCUUUAGCAGAGUCCCUUGUCUGAUCUCCGGCACGGUGGCAGCGUCCGCGUCCGGGGAGACCCAGUCUAGGCCUAGCGAUGCUGAGCGAAGCUUGGAGGGGAGAGGGGUCCUCAGGCUGAGGGGAGUCCCGUACAGAGGUCUUCUUGGCCCACUAGGGAGCCUCAUUGCCCCUUACCAGUCUUAGGACCAGUCUCUUCCUUUCACUGACCCCUACAGGACUCGGACUGUCAAAGUCCCAAGAUUAGAUCUUCAGGGCCUUCCCAGCCCACAGGGCUCACGGAUUCCCUUAAGUCCCCAUCCCACCCCCACCCCCACCCCCGCCUUCCGUCCCCCUGCAGGAGGUCCCUGGGGGCCCUGCUCUCUCCCUUGAGCCUUACCCACUCGUUCAACUUCUCCAACUUAGGGGCCCUUCCAGUCUUGGGGUUUUUCCACUACCCCAGAAAAUGGCCGGGAUGCUCGGCAAGAAGUUACUGGCGUUGAGAGAUUCGUGGGCUGAGGAGUAAAGACAUCCCCUCCACCCCAACUCCCCCACCACGGUCUUAGAAAGGAAAAAAAGGAUCAACAGAGGCCAGCUUCAUGGACACAGCCUGACCACUCCUUCCUGCUGAGAUGAGGUGACCAGCUAGCCUCUCUUUAUAUCUGAGAUGACUGACCAUCCUCACGUUCUGCCCUGAGUUUUGGGUCCUUUUCACUCAAGAGCGCCACUUCAGGAGGGAUUGUGAAAAAGCAGGGAGAGCAGUGGUUUUGGAGUCAGCCAUGGGUGGGACCCCUGAUAUUGUCGAUUUCUCCUGUGUGUCUUUAGAUAAGUUAAUUCACCUCUCUGAGUCUCAGAUAUCUUCCCAAUGGAGAUACUCUUAAAUCUUACAGCACAGUUGGCUCACAAUGUGAUACAUAGCAGGUGUUCAAAAAUAUUAAUUUCCUCCCUCUUACUAUUAAACUGCCACUCAAGUCCCCUCGCCCUACAAGUCCUCACCCUAGAAACCUUCCAUCUAGUCACAGAGCUAGCCAGUGUCACCUUGGCUACUCUUGAACUCUCUCUGGACCUCCGCUUCUGUUUGCUCUUCUGUACAAAUAAGUGGGUGAGUUUACAUUACAUGAAAAUUCCACAAACUUCUCCUAAACCGAAGGCUAGCUAUCUUAGGCUUAGCAGGGCAACAACUCCACUCUGCCUGAAAUCAGCCAUAGGCGAUACAGAAAAAAAUGGGCAUGGCUGCACUCCAAUAAAGUUUUAUUUAUGGA
Molecule: long non-coding RNA, 3980 nt
Organism: Balaenoptera acutorostrata (minke whale)
Lineage: Eukaryota; Metazoa; Chordata; Mammalia; Artiodactyla; Balaenopteridae
Exons: 4
Source: RefSeq, a predicted model, not a curated record